AUCGCUUCUCGGCCUUUUGGCUAAGAUCAAGUGUAGUAUCAAUAUAGUAACCAGACCAAAUCUUUUGCAAGUAAGACAAUCUCUGUCAUAACAGACAUGCUAUUAUUUUUCCCACCCUUUAAAAAAAACAGCAGUCUUU
Molecule: small nuclear RNA, 139 nt
Filed under: Myotis lucifugus (little brown bat)
Lineage: Eukaryota; Metazoa; Chordata; Mammalia; Chiroptera; Vespertilionidae
Description: U2 spliceosomal RNA
Rfam family: U2 spliceosomal RNA
About the family: U2 is a small nuclear RNA (snRNA) component of the spliceosome (involved in pre-mRNA splicing). Complementary binding between U2 snRNA (in an area lying towards the 5' end but 3' to hairpin I) and the branchpoint sequence (BPS) of the intron results the bulging out of an unpaired adenosine, on the BPS, which initiates a nucleophilic attack at the intronic 5' splice site, thus starting the first of two transesterification reactions that mediate splicing.
Source: Rfam by way of RNAcentral